Molecule: ribosomal RNA, 445 nt
Filed under: uncultured bacterium
Lineage: Bacteria
Description: SSU rRNA
Rfam family: Bacterial small subunit ribosomal RNA
Source: RNAcentral
AGAACGAACGCUGGCGGCAUGCCUAACACAUGCAAGUCGAACGAGACCUUCGGGUCUAGUGGCGCACGGGUGCGUAACGCGUGGGAAUCUGCCCUUAGGUACGGAAUAACAGUGAGAAAUUACUGCUAAUACCGUAUGAUGUCUUCGGACCAAAGAUUUAUCGCCUAGGGAUGAGCCCGCGUAGGAUUAGCUAGUUGGUGGGGUAAAGGCCUACCAAGGCGACGAUCCUUAGCUGGUCUGAGAGGAUGAUCAGCCACACUGGGACUGAGACACGGCCCAGACUCCUACGGGAGGCAGCAGUGGGGAAUAUUGGACAAUGGGCGAAAGCCUGAUCCAGCAAUGCCGCGUGAGUGAAGAAGGCCUUGGGUUGUAAAGCUCUUUACCCGGGAAGAUAAUGACUGUACCGGGAGAAUAACGCCCCGGCUAACUCCGUGCCAGCAGCCGC